GCUAAAUGGGAAAUGCUCAGUUCAGGGUUGGAGCCCUAAUGCUGGCUAACAGAACAAUGCUCAGUUCAGGGUUGGAGCCCUAAUGCUGGCUAAAUGAAAAAAUGCUCUGUUUAGGGUUGGAGCCAUAAUGCUGGCUAAUUGGAAAAUGCUCAGUUCAGGGAUGGAGACCUAAUGCUGGCUAACAGAACAAUGCUCAGUUCAGGGAUGGAGCCCUAAUGCUGGCUAACAGAACAAUGCUCAGUUCAGGGUUGGAGCCCUAAUGCUGGCUAAAAGAAAAAUGCUCAGUUCAGGGUCGGAGCCCUAAUGCUGGCUAAAUGGGAAAUGCUCAGUUCAGGGUUGGAGCCCUAAUGCUGGCUAAAUGGGAAAUGCUCAGUUCAGGGUUGGGGCCCUAAUGCUGGCUAACAGAAAAGUGCUCAGUUCAGGGUUGGAGCCCUAAUGCUGGCUAACAGAACAAUGCUAAGUUCAGGGUUGGAGCCCUAAUGCUGGCUAAUAGGAAAAUGCUCAGUUAAGGGUUUGAGCCCUAAUGCUGGCUAAAUGGAAAGUGCUCAGUUCAGGGUUGGAGCCCUAAUGCUGGCUAAAUGGAAAAUGCUCAGUUCAGGGUUGGAGCCCUAAUGCUGGCUAAAUGGAAAAUGCUCAGUUCAGGGUCGGA
This 649-nucleotide long non-coding RNA is filed under the name Nicotiana tabacum (common tobacco). Its description in RNAcentral is "long non-coding RNA (NTAB_LNC017601)". Lineage: Eukaryota; Viridiplantae; Streptophyta; Magnoliopsida; Solanales; Solanaceae. The record is from RNAcentral.